UGGGGAAUAUUGGACAAUGGGCGAAAGCCUGAUCCAGCAACGCCGCGUGAGGGAUGACGGCCUUCGGGUUGUAAACCUCUUUCAGCAGGGACGAAGCGAAAGUGACGGUACCUGCAGAAGAAGGACCGGCCAACUACGUGCCAGCAGCCGCGGUAAUACGUAGGGUCCGAGCGUUGUCCGGAAUUAUUGGGCGUAAAGGGCUCGUAGGCGGUUUGUCGCGUCGGGAGUGAAAACUCAGGGCUCAACCCUGAGCGUGCUUCCGAUACGGGCAGACUAGAGGUAUGCAGGGGAGAACGGAAUUCCUGGUGUAGCGGUGGAAUGCGCAGAUAUCAGGAGGAACACCGGUGGCGAAGGCGGUUCUCUGGGCAUUACCUGACGCUGAGGAGCGAAAGCAUGGGGAGCGAACA
This 407-nucleotide ribosomal RNA is filed under the name uncultured Aeromicrobium sp. Its description in RNAcentral is "bacterial SSU rRNA". It matches the Rfam family "Bacterial small subunit ribosomal RNA", at positions 355 to 774 of the family's 1533-position model. The record is from RNAcentral. Lineage: Bacteria; Bacillati; Actinomycetota; Actinomycetes; Propionibacteriales; Nocardioidaceae.